AUUGAACGCUGGCGGAAUGCUUUACACAUGCAAGUCGAACGGCAGCACGGACUUCGGUCUGGUGGCGAGUGGCGAACGGGUGAGUAAUGUAUCGGAACGUGCCCAGUCGUGGGGGAUAACGUAGUGAAAAUUACGCUAAUACCGCAUACGAUCUAUGGAUGAAAGCGGGGGAUCGCAAGACCUCGCGCGAUUGGAGCGGCCGAUAUCAGAUUAGGUAGUUGGUGGGGUAAAGGCCCACCAAGCCAACGAUCUGUAGCUGGUCUGAGAGGACGACCAGCCACACUGGAACUGAGACACGGUCCAGACUCCUACGGGAGGCAGCAGUGGGGAAUUUUGGACAAUGGGCGAAAGCCUGAUCCAGCCAUUCCGCGUGCAGGAUGAAGGCCCUCGGGUUGUAAACUGCUUUUGUACGGAACGAAAAGGUUUCUACUAAUACUAGGAGCUCAUGACGGUACUGUAAGAAUAAGCACCGGCUAACUACGUGCCAGCCGCCGCGGUAA
Molecule: ribosomal RNA, 500 nt
Filed under: uncultured bacterium
Lineage: Bacteria
Description: partial 16S ribosomal RNA
Rfam family: Bacterial small subunit ribosomal RNA
Source: RNAcentral